AUUGAACGCUGGCGGCAUGCUUUACACAUGCAAGUCGAACGGCAGCGCGGGCUUCGGCCUGGCGGCGAGUGGCGAACGGGUGAGUAAUGCAUCGGAACGUGCCCAGUAGUGGGGGAUAGCCCGGCGAAAGCCGGAUUAAUACCGCAUACGAUCUGAGGGUGAAAGCGGGGGACCGAAAGGCCUCGCGCUAUUGGAGCGGCCGAUGUCGGAUUAGCUAGUUGGUGGGGUAAAGGCUUACCAAGGCGACGAUCCGUAGCUGGUCUGAGAGGACGACCAGCCACACUGGGACUGGGACACGGCCCAGACUCCUACGGGAGGCAGCAGUGGGGAAUUUUGGACAAUGGGGGCAACCCUGAUCCAGCCAUGCCGCGUGCGGGAAGAAGGCCUUCGGGUUGUAAACCGCUUUUGUUCGGGAAGAAAUCCUCUGGGCUAAUACCCCGGGGGGAUGACGGUACCGGAAGAAUAAGCACCGGCUAACUACGUG
RNAcentral lists this ribosomal RNA (484 nucleotides) under uncultured bacterium. RNAcentral describes it as "partial 16S ribosomal RNA". It matches the Rfam family "Bacterial small subunit ribosomal RNA", at positions 28 to 507 of the family's 1533-position model. The record is from RNAcentral.